AAGAGAUGCACAGCUGGGCUUUCAGGCACGUAUUUCAUUUAGUCAUCAUGACAACUCUAUGACAGAUGGCUUACUAACAUUACCAUUUAAUGGUAGAAACUGAAACAAUGUGAUAAUGCCGGUGCUCACGUGGCUACAGUGGCCACAGUUCAAGCUCAGAGUCAUUUAUUUCUAAGUCCUUUGCUCAGGUCACUCUUCUAAACUCCUGGAGCAUCGCUCUGAACUUUUUGCUACCUCAGUGUUUCCCACUGGGUCUGAAGUUAGCCUACUGGCCAGCAAGCCCUAGCUACCCUCUUGACUCCACCUCUCUGGGAUUACAGGAUUAUUGGAAUAAGGGUGGAAUAAGGAGUGCCUGCCUAAACCUGUGAAGUAAACUUGUCAUGGAUUAUUCUGUCACAUUACAGGCCAGUUCAGUCCCUUUGGAUAUUCACACUAAGGGAGCUUGUCCAAAAAUUCCCUGAAAGUUAAGAGAGUUUUGCAUGACCCAACCAGUCAUGA
RNAcentral lists this long non-coding RNA (498 nucleotides) under Cricetulus griseus (Chinese hamster). Its description in RNAcentral is "lncRNA (ENSCGRG00015035226.1)". Lineage: Eukaryota; Metazoa; Chordata; Mammalia; Rodentia; Cricetidae. The record is from RNAcentral.